AGCUUUAUAGUCAAUAAUGACAUUAGACUGCAAUUCUAAAGGAGUAAAUAUUUACUAAGGCUU
RNAcentral lists this transfer RNA (63 nucleotides) under Blepharipa zebina. RNAcentral describes it as "tRNA-Cys". The record is from RNAcentral. Lineage: Eukaryota; Metazoa; Arthropoda; Insecta; Diptera; Tachinidae. RNAcentral also lists the same sequence under 2 other names.